UACGGAGGGGGCUAGCGUUGUUCGGAAUUACUGGGCGUAAAGCGCACGUAGGCGGCUUUGCAAGUUAGAGGUGAAAGCCCGGGGCUCAACUCCGGAAUUGCCUUUAAAACUGCAUCGCUAGAAUUGUGGAGAGGUAAGUGGAAUUCCGGGUGUAGAGGUGAAAUUCGUAGAUAUUCGGAAGAACACCAGUGGCGAAGGCGACUUACUGGACACAUAUUGACGCUGAGGUGCGAAAGCGUGGGGAGCAAACAGG
RNAcentral lists this ribosomal RNA (253 nucleotides) under uncultured bacterium. Its description in RNAcentral is "partial 16S ribosomal RNA". It matches the Rfam family "Bacterial small subunit ribosomal RNA", at positions 524 to 776 of the family's 1533-position model. The record is from RNAcentral.